UACCUGCAGCUCAAGUGGUGACCACUAUUAUUGGGCCUAAAACGUUCGUAGCCGGUUUGGUAAAUGCCUGGGUAAAUCGUGUAGCUUAACUAUACGAAUUCCGGGUAGACUGCCAAACUUGAGACCGGGAGAAGCUAGAGGUACUCCUGGGGUAGAGGUGAAAUUCUGUAAUCCUGGGGGGACCACCAGUGGCGAAGGCGUCUAGCUAGAACGGGUUUGACGGUGAGGAACGAAGCCCUGGGGCGCAAACCGGAUUAGAUACCCCGGGUAGUCCAGGGUGUAAACGCUGCUUGCUUGAUGUUAGUUGGGCUCCGAGCCCAAUUAGUGUCGGAGAGAAGUUGUUAAGCAAGCUGCCUGGGAAUACGAUCGCAAGAUUGAAACUUAAAGGAAUUGGCGGGGGAGCACAGCAACGGGUGGAGCGUGCGGUUU
This 429-nucleotide ribosomal RNA is filed under the name uncultured archaeon. RNAcentral's name for it is "bacterial SSU rRNA". It matches the Rfam family "Archaeal small subunit ribosomal RNA", at positions 474 to 903 of the family's 1478-position model. The record is from RNAcentral.